GACCCUGUACAACAAGAGGGGAGGUACUUUUUUUCACUGACCCGUUCAUCUUCGUUUACUUAACUAUCCUAUCAUGCCAAAAAACUUGCUAUAGUGGAAGUAAGCUGUAUGAUACCUUGUAGUUUAGUAACUGUAUUGUAAUUUGUAGUUGGUCUAACUGAACUAUUCAUUAAUUUAACGUACUUAAUGUACCAUGAGAUGGGAGUAGAUUAUAUUAUUGGAAAAUGCUUAUUAUACAAUUUUCUUAAACCACCUCAAUUAUUCCUCUUUCAUUUUAUUUGAUACAAUCCUCACUGGCCUGUGAACUUUUAGGUGGAGUGUGUUCUGGGUCAGGUGGUACAAAGAGGUAUAAGAAUUGGUGAUGCAAUUAGUACUAUUCUCUAUUGUUGUGAUUUCUGGGAUGAGUGUGACAUGUCAUUGAUUUUUUUUUUUAUUAUUGCUACUAU
This 446-nucleotide unclassified non-coding RNA is filed under the name Hevea brasiliensis (rubber tree). The record is from RNAcentral. Lineage: Eukaryota; Viridiplantae; Streptophyta; Magnoliopsida; Malpighiales; Euphorbiaceae.